This 326-nucleotide ribosomal RNA is filed under the name uncultured bacterium. RNAcentral's name for it is "bacterial SSU rRNA". It matches the Rfam family "Bacterial small subunit ribosomal RNA", at positions 570 to 898 of the family's 1533-position model. The record is from RNAcentral.
CGUAGGCGGUUUUAUAAGUUAGAGGUGAAAUCCCGUGGCUCAACCACGGAACUGCCUCUGAUACUGUAAGACUAGAGAAUGGUUGCUGUGGGCGGAAUGUGUGGUGUAGCGGUGAAAUGCUUAGAGAUCACACAGAACACCGAUUGCGAAGGCAGCUCACAAAGCCAUAUCUGACGCUGAGGCACGAAAGCGUGGGGAGCAAACAGGAUUAGAUACCCUGGUAGUCCACGCCGUAAACGAUGAUAACUCGUUGCCGGCGAUAUACAGUCGGUGACUUAGCGAAAGCGAUAAGUUAUCCACCUGGGGAGUACGUUCGCAAGAAUGAA